UAAGGCUUUAGCUUAAUUAAAGUGUCUGGGUUGCAUUCAGAAGCUGUGGGAUAGAGUCCCGCAAGCCUUAU
RNAcentral lists this transfer RNA (71 nucleotides) under Silurus soldatovi (Soldatov's catfish). RNAcentral describes it as "tRNA-Ala". It matches the Rfam family "tRNA". Rfam says of the family: Transfer RNA (tRNA) molecules are approximately 80 nucleotides in length. Their secondary structure includes four short double-helical elements and three loops (D, anti-codon, and T loops). The record is from RNAcentral. Lineage: Eukaryota; Metazoa; Chordata; Actinopteri; Siluriformes; Siluridae.